CCAGAGAACUUUCCAGAGAUGGAUUGGUGCCUUCGGGAACUCUGAGACAGGUGCUGCAUGGCUGUCGUCAGCUCGUGUUGUGAAAUGUUGGGUUAAGUCCCGCAACGAGCGCAACCCUUAUCCUUUGUUGCCAGCGGUCCGGCCGGGAACUCAAAGGAGACUGCCAGUGAUAAACUGGAGGAAGGUGGGGAUGACGUCAAGUCAUCAUGGCCCUUACGAGUAGGGCUACACACGUGCUACAAUGGCGCAUACAAAGAGAAGCGACCUCGCGAGAGCAAGCGGACCUCAUAAAGUGCGUCGUAGUCCGGAUUGGAGUCUGCAACUCGACUCCAUGAAGUCGGAAUCGCUAGUAAUCGUGGAUCAGAAUGCCACGGUGAAUACGUUCCCGGGCCUUGUACACACCGCCCGUCACACCAUGGGAGUGGGUUGCAAAAGAAGUAGGUAGCUUAACCUUCGGGAGGGCGCUUACCACUUUGUGAUUCAUGACUGGGGUGAAGUCGUAACAAGGUAAGCGUAGAUGA
RNAcentral lists this ribosomal RNA (521 nucleotides) under uncultured bacterium. RNAcentral's name for it is "bacterial SSU rRNA". It matches the Rfam family "Bacterial small subunit ribosomal RNA", at positions 988 to 1509 of the family's 1533-position model. The record is from RNAcentral.